CCGUCGAUAGCUCAGUUGGCAGAGCGGUGGACUGUAGAUCCAUAGGUCGCUGGUUCAAAUCCGGCUCGACGGA
This 73-nucleotide transfer RNA is filed under the name Uloborus diversus. RNAcentral describes it as "transfer RNA tyrosine (anticodon GUA)". It matches the Rfam family "tRNA". From Rfam's summary of the family: Transfer RNA (tRNA) molecules are approximately 80 nucleotides in length. Lineage: Eukaryota; Metazoa; Arthropoda; Arachnida; Araneae; Uloboridae. RNAcentral also lists the same sequence under 1 other name. The record is from RNAcentral.